UACGUAGGCAGCAAGCGUUGUUCGGAGUUACUGGGCGUAAAGGGUGUGUAGGUGGCUUUUUAAGUCCGCCGUCAAAUCCCAGGGCUCAACUCUGGACAGGCGGUGGAAACUACCAAGCUGGAGUUCGGUAGGGGCAGAGGGAAUUUCCGGUGGAGCGGUGAAAUGCGUAGAGAUCGGAAAGAACACCAACGGCGAAAGCACUCUGCUGGGCCGACACUGACACUGAGAGACGAAAGCUAGGGGAGCGAAUGGG
This 253-nucleotide ribosomal RNA is filed under the name uncultured bacterium. RNAcentral's name for it is "partial 16S ribosomal RNA". It matches the Rfam family "Bacterial small subunit ribosomal RNA", at positions 524 to 776 of the family's 1533-position model. The record is from RNAcentral.